GACGAACGCUGGCGGCGUGCUUAACACAUGCAAGUCGAACGGGUCUGCCCUGUUUUUUGCGGGGUGGGUCAGUGGCGAACGGGUGAGUAACACGUGAGUAACCUGCCCCUCACUUCUGGAUAACCGCUUGAAAGGGUGGCUAAUACGGGGUGUUCUGGCUGUGCCGCAUGGUGUGGCUGGGAAAGAUUCACUUUUGUGGUGUUUUGGUGGGGGAUGGGCUCGCGGCCUAUCAGCUUGUUGGUGGGGUGAUGGCCUGCCAAGGCUUUGACGGGUAGCCGGCAUGAGAGGGUGGGCGGUCACACUGGGACUGAGAUACGGCCCAGACUCCUGCGGGAGGCAGCAGUGGGGGGUAUUGCACAAUGGGCGGAAGCCUGAUGCAGCGACGUCGCGUGAGGGAUGGAGGCCUUCGGGUUGUGAACCUCUUUCGCCGGUGAAGAAGGUCCUGCUCUUUGGGGUGGGGUUGACGGUAGCCGGGUUAUGAAGCGCCGGCUAACUACGUG
This 500-nucleotide ribosomal RNA is filed under the name uncultured bacterium. Its description in RNAcentral is "partial 16S ribosomal RNA". It matches the Rfam family "Bacterial small subunit ribosomal RNA", at positions 28 to 507 of the family's 1533-position model. The record is from RNAcentral.